RNAcentral lists this long non-coding RNA (696 nucleotides) under Coturnix japonica (Japanese quail). RNAcentral's name for it is "lncRNA (ENSCJPG00005015970.1)". Lineage: Eukaryota; Metazoa; Chordata; Aves; Galliformes; Phasianidae. The record is from RNAcentral.
AUAUGGAUUUACUGAAAAGAUACCAGUGGAGAAGUUGUAGAAUAAUUCAUGCAUGAAAUCAGUCUAAAUAAAUGCCGUAAAUAAAAUGUUUUGCAGUGUUCCAUACAGCUAUAACAUCUGUGUGUUUUUUUUCCUGUAGGGUUAUAGAAUUGUGUAUCAUUAUCCUGUACUUCUUCAUGUUUUUCUGCUGCCUUGCAAGAGAUAGACACAAGUCCUGAAAAGUUCUGGGAACCAGUGAAUGACGCAUCUCUUGAAAAGUUCUGGGAACCAGAGCAUUGCAAAACAUAGUUCUGGUGACAUGAGAACUCAGCAAGUCACAGUUUGAAAGCUGAGACUGGAUGCCUGGGAAAGAAACCCUGAUGUCUGAAAGGAAACAGGGCCUCAGGAAGGAUACGCUCCAGCCUACUGUCAAGCACAGCGAACUCACAUAUUAAAAGGUGGAUUUCUGGAAAAGCCACUACUGUAAUCUGCUCAAUAACCCAUGCCAUUCAUUCAGCAGGGAUGAGAGAAUGAGUCUACUUCAUUGCUGUUUUGUGUACCAUAUGCAGAGGAGUUAUGGAUAAAUAACAGCAACAGCCAGUGAAGCAUCUGCAUUUGGCUGGCCACACUAAUGGACAAAAAGGAGAAUUUUCUUCCUAAUUCUUUGUUAACAUUAAUAAUUAUGUGUUUCUUUGCUGAUUACAGAUAACUCCAGGC